AUGUAUUUAGUAUACAAUAUUUUUGAAAUAAGCGGGAAAAUCAAUUAACCGGGGGUCAAUUAAGCGAAAGAUACUAUACUUGCACAUAUAUUUGAUGCUCUGCAUCGCACUGCGGAACUCAACACUAAUAUAUUCACUGCUACAAUCAAUACACAAAUAAGACCAAAAAAACAAUGGACGUAAGCUGUACAGAGGUGAGAAAAAGAAAACCGCCUUCUUUUCAUCGCUACUCCGUUAUGUUUUCUGGUUCAGAAGUGCCAACGGAAGACACCGGGCGGGGAUAAGUGAUUGAUUGAUGGAACUAUACUACAUGAAAAUUUUAAUAUACUACAACUAUUUUAUUCAAUUGCCAUCCUAUGGGUCUGUGGAUAGAACGGAAUAAUAUAAAAAUUGCGAUUACAAUUCUGGUGUUGAUCGUAUUUAGAGUGAAAAUUUAGGAGUGUAUAUAUUCUUCAAUUUUGAAUCUUGUAAAAAUAAAAACCAAAAAUAAGAAUAUACUAAUAUGUAAACACACAAAAUUCAUCAAAAUCGGUCCAGCCGUUUCGAUGUAGUUUGGUAACAAACACCGUGA
Non-coding RNA from Bactrocera oleae (olive fruit fly), 571 nucleotides. The record is from RefSeq and is a predicted model, not a curated record. NCBI's taxonomy places the organism in Eukaryota, Metazoa, Arthropoda, Insecta, Diptera, Tephritidae.